GUGCGCCUAACACAUGCAAGUCGAGCGGACGAAAUCUUGCUUGCAAGAUCUAGUUAGCGGCGGACGAGUGAGGAACGCGUAAGAACCAACCCCUAGGCGGGGGACAACAGCUGGAAACGGCUGCUAAUACCCCAUAUGCUGCGGAGUGAAAGGUGUAAACCACCUAGGGACGGGCUUGCGUCUGAUUAGCUAGUUGGGGAGGUAAAUGCUCACCAAGGCGACGAUCAGUAGCUGGUCUGAGAGGAUGAUCAGCCACGCUGGAACUGAGACACGGUCCAGACUCUUACGGGAGGCAGCAGUGAGGAAUUUUCCGCAAUGGGCGAAAGCCUGACGGAGCGACACGGCGUGGAGGAUGAAGGCCCGUGGGUCGUAAACUCCUUUUCUUAGAGAAGAACAAAUGACGGUAUCUAAGGAAUAAGCACCGGCUAACUCUGUGCCAGCAGCCGCGGUAAUACAGAGGGUGCAAGCGUUAUCCGGAUUGAUUGGGCGUAAAGCGUCUGUAGGUGGAUUUUUAAGUCUGCUGUCAAAUCCCAGGGCUCAACCCUGGACAGGCAGUAGAAACUAAAAGUCUUGAGUACGGUAGAGGCAGAGGGAAUUCCCGGUGUAGCGGUGAAAUGCGUAGAGAUCGGGAAGAACACCAAUGGCGAAAGCACUCUGCUGGGCCGAAACUGACACUCAGAGACGAAAGCUAGGGGAGCGAACGGGAUUAGAUACCCCGGUAGUCCUAGCCGUAAACGAUGGAUACUAGGCGUUUCACCACCAUUCGGUGGUGGAGUGCCGUAGCUAACGCGUGAAGUAUCCCGCCUGGGGAGUACGAUCGCAAGAUUGAAACUCAAAGGAAUUGACGGGGGCCCGCACAAGCGGUGGAGCAUGUGGUUUAAUUCGAUGCAACGCGAAGAACCUUACCAGGGCUUGACAUGCCACGAUUCUCUGAAUCGGAUUCGUUGAAAGACGAUGUAGGACACAGGUGGUGCAUGGCUGUCGUCAGCUCGUGUCGUGAGAUGUUGGGUUAAGUCCCGCAACGAGCGCAACCCUCGUCUUUAGUUGCCGGUUUUCCGGAAAUCUAGAGAGACUGCCGGUGAUAAGUCGGAGGAAGGUGGGGAUGACGUCAAGUCAGCAUGCCCCUUACGCCCUGGGCUACACACGUGCUACAAUGGUCGAGACAAAGAGAUGCGAACCUGCGAAGGCAAGCUAACCUCAAAAACUCGAUCUCAGUUCGGAUUGCAGGCUGAAACUCGCCUGCAUGAAGCCGGAAUCGCUAGUAAUCGCAGGUCAGCUAUACUGCGGUGAAUCCGUUCCCGGGCCUUGUACACACCGCCCGUCACACCAUGGAAGCUGGCUACGCCCAAAGUUGUUACCUUAACCGUUUGGAGGGGGGCACCUAAGGCAGAGCUAGUGACUAGGGUGAAGUCGUAACAAGGUAGCCGUACUGGAAGGUGCGGCUGGAUCACCUCCUUA
This 1458-nucleotide ribosomal RNA is filed under the name Resultomonas moestrupii. RNAcentral's name for it is "16S ribosomal RNA". It matches the Rfam family "Bacterial small subunit ribosomal RNA". Lineage: Eukaryota; Viridiplantae; Chlorophyta; Pedinophyceae; Marsupiomonadales; Resultomonadaceae. The record is from RNAcentral.